GCGCUGCAGUCGAGAACCUUCGCAAUGCGGGAAACCGCGACGAGGGACUCCCAGUGCCUACGCUCAGCGUAGGCUGUUCCCGAGCCUAGAAAGCUCGGGGAGUAAGGGCUGGGUAAGACGGGUGCCAGCCGCCGCGGUAAUACCCGCAGCCCGAGUGGUGGCCACUAUUAUUGGGCCUAAAGCGUCCGUAGCCGGCCCGGUAAAUGCCUGGGUAAAUCGUGAGGCCUAACCUCACGAAUUCCGGGUAGACUGCCGGGCUAGGGACCGGAGGAGGGAGAGGGUACUCCAGGGGUAGGGGUGAAAUCCUGUAAUCCCUGGAGGACCACCGGUGGCGAAGGCGCUCUCCUAGGACGGGUCCGACGGUGAGGGACGAAAGCCAGGGGAGCGAACCGGAUUAGAUACCCGCGUAGU
RNAcentral lists this ribosomal RNA (411 nucleotides) under uncultured microorganism. RNAcentral's name for it is "bacterial SSU rRNA". It matches the Rfam family "Archaeal small subunit ribosomal RNA", at positions 330 to 745 of the family's 1478-position model. The record is from RNAcentral.